GCUGAACUGCAAGCCUCUGCCCCACCGUCCCCAGCUCAGAGCAAAGCAGAAACUCGAAGCAGAUGGUGCUCUCCAAAAGCAGUGCCCCAAAAGAUGCUGGGGCAGGCACCGUGGGCAAGGCUGUCUCCUUCUGGCCCUGCCGUCCUGCUGCUGGCACUCUCUGCCAGCAUGACCUCCCAGGACAUCUGCAGCUCCCCAGGUACUCGUGAGUCCUUCCCUCCCAGACCCAGGGCACUUGGAAGCCCAACCACUGUGAGCUCUGCCCUAUGGCAGCCCUUCACUGCUGUGUCUCCUGCAGGGGAUCUCCCAGCUCCUGCUCUCCAAAUGAACUCAAGUUCUGCUCAGCCAGGUACCAGAGUUGUGCUCCAGUGUAUUCUCCCUGUGGUGUCACCCGUAAUACGAAUCAUCAUCUGCAAGGAUGGGAAGGAGGUGUACAGCCAGAAAGCCCAUCAAGGGCAGCUGAGCUACUCCGUGGUCCUGAACAUCACGUCAAGAAGCGCAGGAAUAUAUACCUGUGGGUACCAGCAGAGGAAUGAGAUGAAACAGAGGAGGAGCUCUGCCCUCAGUGCUUGCCAAAUCCUGGAUGUCCCUGGUGCAGCUGCUGGCGUGACCACGCAGGACUUCUGCAGCUCCCCAGGCAAUGUGGUGAGUUCCCCAGCAAGUCCAUCACCCCCAGGCAGGAGCUGUGCCAGCUGCAGAGACACGUCCCUCUCCCUGCUUCUCCCCAUCACACCCCGCUGCCCUCACACACUCUGUCCCACAGCUCCACAUGCCCGGAUCCCGCACACACUCCCCACAGGCACAGUGCUGGCAGUAGCAGCCAUCGGCCUCGUCCUCCUGUCUGCAGGCAGCUGGUUUGCCAUCAGGAAAGGUGAGGGAGUGGGGGAAGGUGGGGGGAAGGCUGAGGACAUGGGGGUCCUGCUGCAGUGCUGGUGCAGUGGGAAAGGUGGUGGGGGGAACCUGGGGGUGCACAGCUGGGCCAGACGGUGCCUGGGGGUGAUGGCUGUGGGCAGCCCAGCUGGGGAGGCUGCUGAGGGAGCUGGGGAGCUUCAGCCUUCGUCCCCCAGCCCCAAGAUUGGAGCCAGGGCUGGGCAGCACAUUGGCCUGUGCACCU
Molecule: long non-coding RNA, 1114 nt
Filed under: Anas platyrhynchos platyrhynchos (common mallard)
Lineage: Eukaryota; Metazoa; Chordata; Aves; Anseriformes; Anatidae
Description: lncRNA (ENSAPLG00000024926.1)
Source: RNAcentral